AAACCGCCGAUCCCUACUUGCCUUCCCCGAUCUCCCCUCUUCCUCUCUCUGUUCUCUCUCGCGGACAAGCGGCGCCAAAGGGAUUAGGGCUUUCAGCUCCGGCGAUCCUCCUCUACCGACAUUGGCGGCCGUUGAGCUCAGAUCCGGGCGGCGCUAUUCCUCUCUGGAUCAUGGACACGGCGUUGCGUCUUCUCUAGUCGACAGCCGGCCUUUCUUCCCCGAUCCGACGAACCGUGCCCUAGGUUCGUCGUCGGUGCAGAUCGGAGCUCGGAGCACAGAGUCGGAUCCGAUCAGUGGUCGCGACGACAAGCCGUGCCUUAGCAGCGAUCCUUAAGGUCACGGGAUUGAUUUCCAGGUGAGGUUUGGUGAUCAGUGAAGUGAGGGUCUGUUGCUGUGAGGCUGGAAUUGUGAUCUUCUUAUUUUGAUUCGAUUGAUCCAGUAAGGUUAGCAUCUGUGAUAGUGAAGUGAAUUCAGCAUAAGUGUUCUGUAGGUUGGGAGGUUCCUUGUUCUUGAUUCAGCAGAGGUGUUCUUGUUCUUGUGAGGUGCUGUUCUGUUCUGUGGAUUUGUGAUCGUGAGGUGUUUCCUUGCCGACAGCACUCCAACCAGCAAUAGUAUGGGCUGUGAAU
Long non-coding RNA from Zingiber officinale, 626 nucleotides. RefSeq lists it as uncharacterized. The transcript is spliced from 3 exons. NCBI's taxonomy places the organism in Eukaryota, Viridiplantae, Streptophyta, Magnoliopsida, Zingiberales, Zingiberaceae. The record is from RefSeq and is a predicted model, not a curated record.